UCUGCACCAAUUUUCAUGGCCAAUGGGAUAGUAUGCAAUCUUCUUUAUUUUUCAGUAAACGAUUGGCAGGAAUCUGGUAUGUAUUUAAAAGUCAAGAGCAAGCUCUGCCAGGAGAAUUUUCUGAAACUGAAACUCAUAAAUUUUUGAGUAAUAUGGUUGAAUAAUAAUAUUUAUACUCUAGUCAAGGAAUUUUAUCUGAUAUGUCUUUAUUUUCAGAAAUAAAAGAUGAAUAAAAACUUUGUAAAAUAAUUAUUAUGUAUUCUGAAUAAAGUCUGGGGAAAAAAAUUA
Molecule: long non-coding RNA, 288 nt
Organism: Stegodyphus dumicola
Lineage: Eukaryota; Metazoa; Arthropoda; Arachnida; Araneae; Eresidae
Source: RefSeq, a predicted model, not a curated record